RNAcentral lists this unclassified non-coding RNA (206 nucleotides) under fungal sp. RNAcentral's name for it is "partial internal transcribed spacer region". The stretch from base 1 to 46 matches the Rfam family "Eukaryotic small subunit ribosomal RNA", at positions 1786 to 1831 of the family's 1831-position model. Lineage: Eukaryota; Fungi. The record is from RNAcentral.
AAGUCGUAACAAGGUUUCCGUAGGUGAACCUGCGGAAGGAUCAUUGCGGGGGAGUGGGGUGUGUUCUAGCUUUUUCUUUUGAGGAAGAUGGAAAGCAGCCCACACGAGCACGGGCACACAGCAGUGCCCGAUGUCAGCGCUUGCGAGUUUGACAAAAGGGUGGCGACAAGAAAGGACGACUUUUAACAAUGGAUCUCUUGGCUCUU